Molecule: ribosomal RNA, 253 nt
Filed under: uncultured bacterium
Lineage: Bacteria
Description: partial 16S ribosomal RNA
Rfam family: Bacterial small subunit ribosomal RNA
Source: RNAcentral
UACGGAGGAUCCAAGCGUUGUCCGGAUUUAUUGGGUUUAAAGGGUGCGUAGGCGGAUCUUUAAGUCAGUGGUGAAAGCCUGCAGCUUAACUGUAGAACUGCCAUUGAAACUGAAGAUCUUGAAUACGGUUAAAGUAAGCGGAAUGUAUCAUGUAGCGGUGAAAUGCUUAGAUAUGAUACAGAACACCGAUAGCGAAGGCAGCUUGCUGAGCCAUUAUUGACGCUGAGGCACGAAAGCGUGGGGAGCAAACAGG